GGCCCGGGAUCUCGCUGGCGCGGGAGGCCGCCUGCAAAGCGGUCGUGACCACAAGGGGUUCGAUUCCCCCCUGGGCUUC
Molecule: transfer RNA, 79 nt
Filed under: Paraplanobispora siamensis
Lineage: Bacteria; Bacillati; Actinomycetota; Actinomycetes; Streptosporangiales; Streptosporangiaceae
Description: Planobispora siamensis tRNA-Cys
Rfam family: Selenocysteine transfer RNA
Source: RNAcentral